RNAcentral lists this long non-coding RNA (214 nucleotides) under Elaeis guineensis (African oil palm). RNAcentral describes it as "long non-coding RNA (EGUI_LNC043425)". The record is from RNAcentral. Lineage: Eukaryota; Viridiplantae; Streptophyta; Magnoliopsida; Arecales; Arecaceae.
AUCCGGACUUCUACGGGAACCAGACUCUGACUGAACUUCUGUAGCGGAUAGAUUCCGGACGAACUCCUACGACACACGGGCUCCAGCAGUCGGACCCCUCCAGCGGGUGAACCUCUCUAGUGCCAUCCGACAUCCACUAUCGGUCGACCUUCUGUCAGAUUCUACAUGAAAUCGAGCUUCGUCCACAGAAAGCCCCUGACCGAGCUUCUACAGC